UUUCUAGAUAAUUAGUUUUUAAGGCUGUAAAUGGUGACCAAAACCGCACCCAAAACCGCAUCGUAACAGUGCUGUAAUAGUAUCAAAAUCUCUAUAUAUACAUAUAUAUAUUUAUAUAUUUUCAGUACUAUUUGAACCGCAUCACACUUCUCCCGCACCGCAAAACGCAAUCACCAUUCGAAGCUUUAGAUUACGAAAGAAAAACACGAAUCCUCAAAGUUUGACCAAUACUUCGGUA
RNAcentral lists this small RNA (238 nucleotides) under Arabidopsis thaliana (thale cress). Its description in RNAcentral is "ATSL120580". Lineage: Eukaryota; Viridiplantae; Streptophyta; Magnoliopsida; Brassicales; Brassicaceae. The record is from RNAcentral.